This 253-nucleotide ribosomal RNA is filed under the name uncultured bacterium. RNAcentral's name for it is "partial 16S ribosomal RNA". It matches the Rfam family "Bacterial small subunit ribosomal RNA", at positions 524 to 776 of the family's 1533-position model. The record is from RNAcentral.
UACGUAGGGUGCAAGCGUUAAUCGGAAUUACUGGGCGUAAAGCGUGCGCAGGCGGUUGUGCAAGACAGAUGUGAAAUCCCCGGGCUCAACCUGGGAACUGCAUUUGUGACUGCACAGCUAGAGUACGGUAGAGGGGGAUGGAAUUCCGCGUGUAGCAGUGAAAUGCGUAGAUAUGCGGAGGAACACCGAUGGCGAAGGCAAUCCCCUGGACCUGUACUGACGCUCAUGCACGAAAGCGUGGGGAGCAAACAGG